RNAcentral lists this transfer RNA (72 nucleotides) under Camelus bactrianus (Bactrian camel). It matches the Rfam family "tRNA". Rfam says of the family: Transfer RNA (tRNA) molecules are approximately 80 nucleotides in length. Their secondary structure includes four short double-helical elements and three loops (D, anti-codon, and T loops). The record is from Rfam by way of RNAcentral. Lineage: Eukaryota; Metazoa; Chordata; Mammalia; Artiodactyla; Camelidae. RNAcentral also lists the same sequence under 1 other name.
GACGGUAUAGCUCGAUCGUAGAGCACGUGCUUGGUGUGCACGAGGUCCUGGGUUCAACCCCCAGUACCUCUG